This is a long non-coding RNA of Poecilia latipinna (sailfin molly), 102 nucleotides long. RefSeq lists it as uncharacterized. The transcript has 3 exons. NCBI's taxonomy places the organism in Eukaryota, Metazoa, Chordata, Actinopteri, Cyprinodontiformes, Poeciliidae. The record is from RefSeq and is a predicted model, not a curated record.
AGCUCUCAAUGGAUGAGCGGUAGCAGGUCAGCAGCCGUUUGGGGUCCAGAUUGUGCUUUCCAAGCACUCUCAGGAAGUGUGAUCGCUGCUUAGCCUUUUUGG